Molecule: RNA transcript, 836 nt
Organism: Perca fluviatilis (European perch)
Lineage: Eukaryota; Metazoa; Chordata; Actinopteri; Perciformes; Percidae
Gene name: placenta-specific gene 8 protein-like
Exons: 4
Source: RefSeq, a predicted model, not a curated record
CACACACACACACACACACACACAUGCAAAAGUCAAAGUAAGAAGACAGAAAGAAAAAGUCCCUCAGAAAGAUAACAAAAUUGUGCUUGUCUUUUCUUUGGGGGGGAUCAAACAAGCACUGACAGCUCAGCCAUGUCACGACAGGUGGUCCAGGUCCAGCCGGAGAGCAGGGUUCAGGAGGCAGGUCAAUGGAGUACUGGCCUGUGUGAGUGCCAUAAAGACGUGGGUGACUGCUGCUUUGCCGUGUGCUGCCUCCCAGUGUUCACCUGUAAGGUGACCAGUGCAGUGGGUGCCUGUCCCUGUCUGCCUCUGCUGGACUGUAUCGGCUGUGUCCCACCGGCAUCUCUCGCCAUGAGGGCGUCUGUCAGGCAACGAUACGGCAUACGGUGGAGUGGAAUGGCCCCUGUAGCUGUGAUGUCGUGAUACACACUGUCUGGAACAAGGCAGCUGAUUGCACGCUGCACUGUGUGUCCCCAGCUCAAUUACCCAGAGCUGCUGGAGCUCUGGGUAAUUGUGAUUACUGCCGAGAAGAUGGAGACGUUUCAGGGAUGAAACACCGUAGCAGCACACAGGGGAAAUAGCUGCAACAUCAUGACCACCGGUUAUUACUUUAGAAAUGCAAACAACGUUUUCAGUCUAUGUAGUUGCGUUAGUUACAGCUUAGAUACUAUAUGCUGAGGACGCAGUGAGAUCAGGACACAAGGGAACGAUACAUUCAACUCUUCUGAGCCAAUACGAUUUUAAGUUCACGAUCCGAUUUGAUAUCAUACUUUUUGGACGAGCUGCAGACAAAUGACCUUUAUACAAAAUACAUAUAUUUUAGAUUCCUCAAAGUA